Molecule: unclassified non-coding RNA, 297 nt
Filed under: uncultured Coprinellus
Lineage: Eukaryota; Fungi; Basidiomycota; Agaricomycetes; Agaricales; Psathyrellaceae
Description: partial contains 5.8S ribosomal RNA, internal transcribed spacer 2, and large subunit ribosomal RNA
Rfam family: 5.8S ribosomal RNA (bases 1-52)
Source: RNAcentral
AACGCACCUUGCGCCCCUUGGUAUUCCGAGGGGCAUGCCUGUUUGAGUGUCAUUAAAUUCUCAACCUCACCAGUUUUCUGAACCGCGUCGAGGCUUGGAUGUGGGGGUUUGUGCAGGCUGCCUCAGCGCGGUCUGCUCCCCUGAAAUGCAUUAGCGAGGUUCAUACUGAGCUUCCGUCUAUUGGUGUGAUAAUUAUCUACGCCGUGGACAGGGUUCAGACUCGCUUCUAACCGUCCCUCGGGACAAUACCCAUGACAAUUUGACCUCAAAUCAGGUAGGACUACCCGCUGAACUUAA